UAAAUAAACCAAACACCAAAAACUAAACCAUUCUUUUUACCUGAGUAUGGGAGACAGAAAAGGUUCAACCAAAGCAAUAAAAAUAGUACCGCAAGGGAAAGCUGAAAGAGAAAUGAAAUAACCCAUAUAAGCAACAAAAAGCAAAGACUAAACCUUGUACCUUUUGCAUCAUGAUUUAGCCAGUAAACGCAAGCAAAGAGACCUUUAGUUUGAAACCCCGAAACCAGGUGAGCUACCCCGAGACAGCCUAUUAGGGCCAACCCGUCUCUGUGGCAAAAGAGUGGGAAGAACUCCGGGUAGAAGUGACAGACCUACCGAACCUGGUGAUAGCUGGUUACCUAAGAAAUGAAUAGAAGUUCAGCCUCGCACGCCUCAAAUCAAAUAAACAUAUAUUAAAAUAUUAAGAGAAAAACACGAGAGUUAGUUGAAGGGGGUACAGCCCCUUUAACAAAGGAUACAACCUUGCCAGGAGGAUAAAGAUCAUAAUAUACAAAAUAUACUGUUCUAGUGGGCCCAAAAGCAGCCACCUAAACAGAAAGCGUUAAAGCUCAGACAGAAAAAAAUUUAUUAUUUAGAUAAAAAAUCUUACUCCCCUAAACACUAUUAGGCCAACCCAUGCCCCCAUGGAAGAAAUUAUGCUAAAAUGAGUAACAAGAAGACCCACUCUUCUCCCAGCACAAGUGUAAGCCAAAUCGGACCAACCAUUGGCAACUAACGAACUCAAUCCAAGAGAGUAAUGCGAGCCACAAAAAAAACAAGAAAAGCCCACAACCAAAUAAUCGUUACCCCCACACUGGAGUGCCGCCCAUGGGAAAGACUAAAAGAAAAGGAAGGAACUCGGCAAACACAAGCCCCGCCUGUUUACCAAAAACAUCGCCUCCUGUAACACACUACAUAUAAGAGGUCCAACCUGCCCAGUGACUACAAGUUCAACGGCCGCGGUAUUUUGACCGUGCAAAGGUAGCGCAAUCACUUGUCUUUUAAAUAAAGACCUGUAUGAAUGGCCAAACGAAGGCUUAACUGUCUCCCCUUUCAAGUCAGUGAAAUUGAUCUAUCCGUGC
Molecule: ribosomal RNA, 1061 nt
Filed under: Garra mirofrontis
Lineage: Eukaryota; Metazoa; Chordata; Actinopteri; Cypriniformes; Cyprinidae
Description: partial 16S ribosomal RNA
Rfam family: Bacterial large subunit ribosomal RNA (bases 139-1049)
Source: RNAcentral